AAACAAAACAGAUAUGGCAGAAAGAAAACUGUCCCUCAAGGCAAAAAUAAUAAUUUAUUCCAGACUUGGUGAGCACCUUCUAAACUUAUUACAAACUAUAUUUGCCAGUCUUGUUGCUUGAUCUUCACAGCCAAGCAACAUAAAUGCCGCAAUGAUCGAAAUGAUUGAAGUAAAUACAAUGAACAUAUAUCUUGAUAAAUGUAGAGGGCUCUAGCAAUUAAACAAGAAAACUACUAAAUUCAUUUAUAACUAUUAUGCAACACUAAAUUAAAGUCAACAUUAAGCUUCUCUAGUAAUAAACACCCACAUCUCAAUAGGAUGGCGAAAAUGAAUUUCACAAGGUAUUCUAUUUCUGGUCCACUCUGAUCCAUAUACAUGGCCUGAUUAACAUGACAGGACCAUUUAUAGCACAUGACCGACAACAAAGGAUUUAAAUUAUCAUGCAGACAAAUGAGUUUUGCUCCUGCAAUUGUAAGCAAGGGAAGCCUAUGCUAAGCGCUUCUUCUCUCCAUAUGUACUCCUGAUGCUUCUGGUUGUUAAAGCAUCAUCCAUCUACAAAUGAAGUCAAAUGAAAAAAAAAAUUAUAGUUCACAUCAGAAGGAAAGAAAUUGAAAAUAAUUAUGAUCGUUGGUAGACUAAAUGGUUGCAAGGGAGAAAAACAGAGCAAGCUGUAACAAGCAUAUAUGUUGUACUUUAACCACUAGAAUAGUACAUUUAGGUGACUAGCAUGAAAAUUAAGUAAGAUUGUCAGAACUGAAAACAUUGACCAGAGUGCUACAUCAUUUGCAAGUGAAAUACCAACAUCAGUAGAAUAACCCAAAAGAAUUGCCUGCAGCAGAGGUGUAGUGCUUAAAAAGUAUUUAAUAUUAAUAAUACAAAUUUCUAGGCUUGAAUAACAGUUCAUGUCCUAAUCAUGUGUGUGCUUCACAAUUAAGAAUGGGUGUUAAGUUUUUUUUCUAACUCGUAGAUGAGGAAAAUGUAACAUCUUACAAUAAAUGAGUGGAGCCUUGUUAGAAUGCUGCAUCACAAAAACGUAUGGCAGACCAGUGAAGAGAAAAGAACAAGAAUACCAUAUGGCAAAAUAUAUUCAAAGCUUAACAAUGACCGAUCACUUGUAUCAUCAGAAAAGUGAAGGUGUAAUUUGAUGUUGUUACAAGUUCCAACUCUUAAUUGUUUUGUUCAAUAUCAAGUUCACCUGACUUCCAAUCAACCAGAACAAUAUGAUUCAGGAAUGCUCGUAUAGAAUAAGAAAAUUGCAACCGAGCAUUGAUUUAAAGGUAAGUAACCCUCAUCGCUCAAACUUAUGAGCUGAAGAACAUACUUUAUGAAUGUUUGACAUAUGCAAAUUAUUAUUCUAAAUCAAUAGUAAACAAAUAAUUUGAUGGCGUGCAUAAAUGGUAGUCUUCAAAGCAAGAAGUGCAAACCUCCACUCUUGUGUUAUAUUAUUCUUAGAGCAUGUCCUUGCAUCACGGAACACCGCUAUCAUACAAAUGAUGCAUUUCCGUGGAGCAUAUAAAGCUAGAAGUCUAUUGUCACAUCUCAUACAUCCCAAUAUGACUUGCUUGUCAGACUUACUAGAGCAUCAACGCCAAUUUUUAACAGAGUAAUAACAUUGUACUUGACCAAGAUCAAAACUUGACUAAUAAACAUGGACAAGUAUCUAUUGUGUGAAGUAUUGGUAGUUGGUACAUAUUCCCUAUCUGUAUAGAAAAUCAAGAGUUUGGGCAUUGUUUAAGAUGGUUAAAGGAGAUGGUAAUGAUGGCCAAUUUUAGUUUGUGUAAUCUUUAGACCUGUGUGUUUUUUGAUACAAUAUCUCAGCUUUGUUUUGAAGAAAAAAAGAGAGCCCCCCUCUCUGGUUUCCUUUAUAUAAAACCAAUGUCUUACUAGUUGCUACAGAGAAGGGAAAAACAUCUAAAGAACUCUGGAAGUGUUUCGGUUUAUUUAACAGUAGAGCAAGUCUAAAUAACCCCUGGACUGGGGAAGCUCAAAUUUCCAUCACUUUGGCUGAUUGGAAAGCAGUUCAAUAGUGAUACACCAAGCUUGUCAUCAGCCAGUAGAAUACACAUUACCACAACUAAAUCAUGCACUAAUCAGCAUGCUAUUGCUGGAUCCGGAAUGAAUAGAUCAAACAUAGACACGCAUACAGGAAGCUAACAAUUAAAAAACUAAAAAAUGUUAUAAAAUAGAAAUUCAACGAACAUAAGCAUCAUCUCAUAAUGAGUCCCUCACCAUGGUGAUCGAGGACCUGGCACAUGCGGCCGUCGAUCUGCGUCAUCGCGAACACGUCCGUGAUGUGGGACUUCCGACCAAUCACCAACCCGUCAUAUAGUCCAGCACGGUGAAGGUCGGGUGGUGCUCCUGUGGAGCAGACCGUGGCAGAGCUGGAUGUGGCCGAGAUGAUGAUGUGGAGCGCGACGUCGGGGUGCCCGGAGAUGGAUCCAGACGGCCUGGGUGGCGGAGUAGUUAGGGGAGGGG
Molecule: long non-coding RNA, 2475 nt
Filed under: Triticum aestivum (bread wheat)
Lineage: Eukaryota; Viridiplantae; Streptophyta; Magnoliopsida; Poales; Poaceae
Description: long non-coding RNA (TAES_LNC025487)
Source: RNAcentral